UACCAGCCGCGGUAAUUCCAGCUCCAAUAGCGUAUAUUAAAGUUGCUGCAGUUAAAAAGCUCGUAGUUGGAUUUGUGGGAUGGCCGUCCGGCGGGGGGCCAUUUAUUGGUCCCGUUUGUCCUGGUUUUCGGCCUUCCCUUUCUCGGGUCUAGCGUAUUGGCUGGCAUUAGGUUGUCGGCCGCUUCGCGCCCGUCGUUUACUGUGAAAAAAUUAGAGUGUUCAAAGCAGGCUUAGGCCGUUGGAUACAUUAGCAUGGAAUAAUGAGAUAGGGCCACCGCGGUCUAUUUUGUUGGUUUGCACGUUGUGGUAAUGAUUAACAGGAACGGUUGGGGGUAUUCGUAUUCAAUUGUCAGAGGUGAAAUUCUUGGAUUUGUGGAAGACGAACUACUGCGAAAGCAUU
This 400-nucleotide ribosomal RNA is filed under the name phytoplankton environmental sample. RNAcentral's name for it is "partial small subunit ribosomal RNA". It matches the Rfam family "Eukaryotic small subunit ribosomal RNA", at positions 568 to 955 of the family's 1831-position model. The record is from RNAcentral.